This is a long non-coding RNA of Oncorhynchus tshawytscha (Chinook salmon), 1843 nucleotides long. The record is from Ensembl. NCBI's taxonomy places the organism in Eukaryota, Metazoa, Chordata, Actinopteri, Salmoniformes, Salmonidae.
UGGCAGACUGCGUUUUAUUCAUGUGGGAGAGCGGUUUGCUGAUGUCAACGUUGUGAACAUGAGUGCCCAAUAAUGGCAGUGGGGUUAUUGGCAGGCGAAAGCUACGGAGAAUAAACUCAAUUGGAUUUUAUCGAUGGCAACUUGAAAGCACAGAGAUCCUGAGGCCCGUUGUCGUGCCGUUCAUCUGCCGCCAUCACCUCAUGUUUCAGCACGGUAAUGCAAGGCCCCGUGUCGCAAGGAUCUGUACACCAUUCCUGGAAGCUGAAAAAGGUGUCCGCUCUUCCAUGCUCUGGAUCAAUGCGUAUGACCGUGUUCCAGUUCCCGCCAAUAUCCAGCAACCUUUCACAACAUUUGAAGAGUUGGACAACAUUCCACAGGCCACAAUCAACUCGAUGCGAAGGAGAUGUAUCGCGCUGCCUGAGGUAAACGAUGGUCGCACCAGUUACUGACUGGACUCCUGAUCCACAGCCCCUUUUUAAUAUAUUUUUUUAAGCUAUCUGUAUACCAAGUCAUGUGAAAUACAUUGAUUAGGGCCUAAUGAAUUUCUUCCAAUUUCCUUAUGAACUGUAACUCAGUUAACUCUUAAGAUUUUUGCAUGUUGCGUUUAUAUUUUUGUUCAGUUUACUUCUGAGUUGGUAACAAACUACCAGCUGGAGUGUUAUCUGAACAGGUAUAAAGCCAAGGUUGGCGAAAUAUAUAUUUUUUUCAUGUUGCUUUUAACGUUUCUUUCUGUGUAGUUGGCAAACACACGUUUCUAGAUACUGUGAAACAUCUGUCUUCAUACCUAGUUCUUGAUCCAACUGAAGCACCCUCUUAAAAAUAUAUAUAUAUUAUCUGAAGUUCUCCUGUAAUGAUCAAGUCAUCCCUGCAUGUUAACGGACUAUCUCUCCCUCUCUGGUUGUCUCUUGCUCCAGGCUAACAGGACGUGUCCCAUCUGUCGGGCUGAUGCCUCUGAGGUCCAGCGAGACUCAGAGUGACCACCAGGGGGAGACAACCACUCUGACUGUCAAACAGUUUUAGCACUGCCCCCCCCCCCAUCCCUCCCCUGCAUCUCUUUUCCUCCUCCUGUAACUACUGCCCCUCACUCCACCUUCAAUCUCUUUUGGAAGUGUUUCAGCCUCCUCUAACUCUGCCCUCCAUCUCUCCUUUAGCCCUCUUUCCCUUCUGUCCUCUUCAUCCUCACACUCCAUUCCCUCUGGUCCAGCCCCCCUUGUGUCUCUCUAGCUCUGGAUGUCCCUCAGCUGAACCCGCUGGAGGGUGGGUGGGUGUGUGCGCACAAGCCAAUGUCCACACGUAUGAUUCCUGUCCGCUGGUAUGUGCCAGCGUUGGGUUUGUGUGUAUGAGAGACUGUAUUUUUAGUUAGUCUCCGAUCAUGUAUUUGUGUGUUUAGACUUGGGUAUCCACAUGUAGCUGACACUUAAGGGCCCAUGCCACUCCGCUGCCUCUCUGUAGCCUGAACUAGUUGCUUUUUGUUUAGUUUCUCUGCCUGGCAGUUUACCUCAUCAUUCCUGUUGGUCAUUGUUACCACGACGACACGCUUCACUGUAUUCCUCUGAAGUUUCUCAUUAUUUUUAUCUUUAUUUUUGUUCCUUAAAAGAUGAUUAGUUUGUCUGACUUUGCAGUGGCACAUGUGUUAUAUACUGUAUAAAUAUAUGAAUAUCUGUAUACCAAAUAAAAGGCUUGAUAUUAACUUUUUUUUUUUUUUAAAUCACAUUUUUGGACCGUUUUUUAAAAAUGAAUUAUGAGAUGUGAUGCAGUUGGGUUUGAUUGUGCUGGAUUGAUUAGUCUGUUCUGGAUGUUAGACUUUACGUGGUGGUUAAUUAAUAAAAGACAUGAUACACUG